Molecule: long non-coding RNA, 339 nt
Organism: Mytilus californianus (California mussel)
Lineage: Eukaryota; Metazoa; Mollusca; Bivalvia; Mytilida; Mytilidae
Exons: 5
Source: RefSeq, a predicted model, not a curated record
UAGAUUACUGAAGGUGAAUCGGAUGAAGAAGAGCUUCCACCAUUGUUCCCUCCCAGAAGAGAAAGACAAUCUGAUGAUGCUAAUUUGACAGUACAAGCGAUACACUUCAGUUGAAAGCAUGAAAGCAUUCAACAUCUGACACACCAGAUUCGCCAAUAAGUCGCCAGAGAAAUAGUACACUGUCUCAACCAGGUACCAGUGGAGCAAGUACAACCGUUACAUCUGAGAGGUCAAAUUCCUCAUCCACUCAAAUAACCAGUACAUUGUCCUCACCUGGUAGAAAUAGAGCAACUGUAGCCCUGGAAGGCUCCAACACACCAUCAUCAAGAAGAGGCAGAG